Molecule: long non-coding RNA, 2521 nt
Organism: Triticum aestivum (bread wheat)
Lineage: Eukaryota; Viridiplantae; Streptophyta; Magnoliopsida; Poales; Poaceae
Exons: 4
Source: RefSeq, a predicted model, not a curated record
UCCCGAUGUGGCGCUGCCCCCAUCUCUUGCUCCGCCGCCGCCGCCCCUGCCUCCCUCCCGCUCAGCCACCUCCACCGCUCCCACCCUUCUCCCCAUUGUCGGAUCCACUUGCAUAUCGUCAAGGUUAGGCGGCGAAGCUCCACGUCCGCGACGCGCACAUGCUCGUCAAGGAAGAGGCUCCCGGAUCUGAGGUCGCGCGGCCGUGACGGAAGGGCUCGAGGUGGCCGCCGAAGACCAAGUCCCCACAAUGUCUAGAAUCGCUUCCUCCCCCGUGUUCCACUGAGGAAGGAGCCAUCGCCGCCGAUCGUCUUCCCCGAUGGUCGCCGUCUUUCCUUCCGGUCCCCACGGAUCCUCCGAUCACUGUCUUGUGGUCGGCGAACUCAACAGCUGUGCUCUGACGCACGGGAUCCGGCCGGGGUACAUCAGUACAACCGCCUUGCCCCUCUCUCUUGCUAUAGCAGAUGAGAGUCGGUAAGAGGGGAGGCAGAGAGGAUCUCAAGAGGUGAAGAACAGAGGGCGAGGGAUGGAAUUGGAAGGAGGAGGAGGAGAUCCCCGCGGCAUGCAGUGUCAAAUCUCGUGCUCGCCAUCCCCAUCGCUGCGUCCUCUGCUCCCAUCAGUGGCUCGCCAUUGUUGACCGCACCUGCAGUUGGCUCUCUGUCCCGGCCAUGGUCUCAUCGCCUCCCCUCCAUACCUCAGCACUGCAACACCCUCAACGCUGCCAGGCGAUGAGUGCAGAGACGAAUCUCACAUAUCCAUCAAAGCUUUCAGGUUGUCCCCUUCCUUUCCCCUUCCCCACUUUUUUGUUUUACCAGUGCAUGAACUUACCCACCCACGCCAUCUGUUUGCUAAAAUGCUUCAUAGAGCUAUAUAAAAUUUUAACCUCAUUGACAUUUGCUUGUUACAAUGCUUUAUGGGAAUAAAAUUGUCAGACAUCAUAUUGGUUCUGGUUUUACCACAGAUGUAUGCUUUAUGAGCAGGAGGACUUUAUGACUCGACAAGUUCCUCUGCAUCAUACGGGUGUGGCAACUCCCCACUUGGUGAGGAUCUUAUUGCUGAGUAGUCAACGACAUCACCUGCAUCAACCCCUCCCUGGUUGCCAUCCAUGUGCGACCAACCGUCCAACUUAUUUUCACGUGGGAGUACAUUCUAUCGACGCCCUUUUAAUUUACAAGGAAUGGCUGAGAAGCACGGAUUUAUUUUCAUGGGCACAAAAAUAAUAAUCAAGACCUUAGUAGACUGGCUGUACCUUGAUGAGAGUGUGCUUUCAGCUACCAACGCUUGAUCGGGACCACGACCAAGACAACGGGUCCGAUGUUUGGAAAGGAUCGCGAAAGUGACAUGUGUCAUGGUGAGGCUAGUUUCCAUUCCGCAUGUUGCCUUAUUUUCUUCUAUAUCCGCAAUUUGAGAGGUAAUUUUAAAUCAUUUUGUAUGCUCAUCGAUGUUGAUCUAUGGCAAGAGUCUGGUUCAUCACAACAUCGGUGUUGUUUGGUUCUUCUUUUCUCCGAGCAUGGUUCUGGCUCGGCAGUGCACCAUAACUAGAGUUUUCACACCUGACAGUCACGCCCACCUAAAAUGGGCAUCCUUUGUCACUGUUGCAUUCCUCUCACGUAUUCUUAAUCAUGAAGCUUCUCGUAGGAACAAAAAAUUAAACAAACAAGUAUGAAGGGAUAGAGAAAGUUUGUUGUCUGUCAAGUACCUCGGCAGUCAGGUAGGAGUACUUACACAGGAGUGACCGUUUCGAUCAAACGGGUGGCGGAAGAUACUGACCCUUCUUGUGGUCUGUGUCUCAAUCACGCAAGGAGCAAAGGUUAGCUCUUGUGGAUCAUCACUCGACCUGAGCAGGAGUAGGAUGUUCACACUCCACUCCACGGUCGCAUGAAGAAAUCUUAUGCCAAUUCCAGUUUGCCUUGCCUUGCCCAUGUGACCAACUAUUGGUCUCGUGUCGAUCGACCACACUCCACAGUCGCAUUUCGAUCAAAGUUUCUCCUUUUAGCAUUGUGGCUAUGGAGAUAAAGAACAAUGGGAACGAAUGGUGUGACAUCGGUGAUGAUGUCGCUGAAGGAGAGGGUAAACAGACAUGAUGUGUUUCUGACUAAUGGGCUGCAGGGUUGGCACAAGGAAACUAUUGUUAUGCCUUGUGAGGUCCGACGACGGUGACCGGAUGACUGAGCAAAGCUGUGAAAAAAUCGGUUUUUUUUUCAGAAACAUAAAACAGCGGCCUACAAUAUAAUGCAUCAGCGGAAGAGGAGGAGGCCGACAUAUGAAGCUGAGAGAGGUGACGGGGAGCACGAGAAACUGCUCCCACUGCAAGAGAGGGAGCCAUGCCAAUAGUCAGUUGUGGGCUUGUGGCGCUGGUCGCGACCGCCGCAUCACCAACCAUGAUCGUCCAGGCUGUGGCAUGGGGGUCGUGCUUGCUGCUUGCGCGACGAUCCCCCCAUCGUGAUGAUAAGGCGACUCCCCAACCCUGAUGAUAAGGCUUCAUCCAUUCAAUUUUGACUCUGUAGACAACUAGCUUCUGGGA